CCUUCCUCCAGCUCCGCGGCGCAGGGAUAUGCGCUGUGCUGAGGCUGAGCUGAAUGAGAUUGAAGAAGAGUUCUUCUUGUUUUGUAGCUUCAGUUUCUCUGUUUUUACACAAAUUUUACUGAAACUAAAUAUAAAAUACAGCAACAAAAUAAAAGCUCGGCGGGAAAAGAGUGAGCCGGACUGUUUGUACGCUGUUAUUCCAUCGUGGAUCGGCUUCUUAUAGAGAUAUAUAUAUAUAUUUAAUUAAUCUAGAGGAGGACUGCUGCUGAGGCAGCCCAGAGGGGUGGAGUCAGUCCCACAGCCAGGUGCGGCACUUUAAUGCUUCAGGUGGAUGGUUUUCCUCCUGGAGACGGUGUUCAGGUAAGA
Molecule: long non-coding RNA, 366 nt
Organism: Etheostoma cragini (Arkansas darter)
Lineage: Eukaryota; Metazoa; Chordata; Actinopteri; Perciformes; Percidae
Exons: 3
Source: RefSeq, a predicted model, not a curated record